AAUGCGUUUUGAGAUGGUCCUGCGGCCUAUCAGCUAGUUGGCGGGGUAACUGCCCACCAAGGUUAUGACGGGUAUCCGGCCUGAAAGGGUGAACGGACACACUGGAACUGAGACACGGUCCAGACUCCUACGGGAGGCAGCAGUGGGGAAUUUUGGACAAUGGGGGAAACCCUGAUCCAGCGACGCCGCGUGGAGGACGAAGGUCUUAGGAUUGUAAACUCCUUUUAGAGGGGAAGAAAAAAAUGACGGUACCCUCAGAAAAAGCCACGGCUAACUACGUGCCAGCAGCCGCGGUAAUACGUAGGUGGCGAGCGUUACUCGGAAUUACUAGGCGUAAAGCGUAUGUAGGCGGUUAGAUAAGUCUUUAGUGAAAUUUCUCUGCUUAACAGGGAAGGGCCUAAGGAUACUGUUUGACUUGAGUGUUGGAGGGGGAGACGGAAUUCCUGGUGUAGCGGUGAGAUGCGUAGAUAUCAGGAGGAACACCGAUGGCGAAAGCAGUCUCCUGGUCAAAUACUGACGCUAAUGUACGAAAGCUAGGGUAGCAAACAGGAUUAGAUACCCUGGUAGUCCUAGCUGUAAACGAUGUUCACUAGACGUGGGAGGUAUCGACCCCUUCCGCGUCGACGCUAACGCAUUAAGUGAACCGCCUGGGGAGUACGGCCGCAAGGUUGAAACUCAAAGGAAUUGACGGGGGCCCGCACAAGCGGUGGAGCAUGUGGUUUAAUUCGACGCAACGCGAAAAACCUUACCUGGGCUUGAACUGCUGAUGGUAAAAGCUGGAAACAGUGAUGACCCGCAAGGGAGUUAGUAGAGGUGCUGCAUGGCUGUCGUCAGCUCGUGUCGUGAGGUGUUGGGUUAAGUCCCGCAACGAGCGCAACCCUUAUCCCAUGUUACCUGUAGCGAUACAGGGUCUCUGAGGAAACUGCCAUUGAUAAAAUGGAGGAAGGUGGGGACGACGUCAAGUCAUCAUGGCCUUUAUGUCCAGGGCUACACACGUACUACGAUGGUCGGUACAGAGGGUAGCGAUAUCGCAAGAUGGAGCAAAUCCCUAAAAGCCGGCCCCAGUUCAGAUUGUGGGCUGCAAUUCGCCCAUCAUGAAGUAGGAAUC
This 1108-nucleotide ribosomal RNA is filed under the name uncultured Termite group 1 bacterium. RNAcentral describes it as "bacterial SSU rRNA". It matches the Rfam family "Bacterial small subunit ribosomal RNA", at positions 212 to 1333 of the family's 1533-position model. Lineage: Bacteria; Pseudomonadati; Elusimicrobiota. The record is from RNAcentral.